UGAACAAUACCCAAGUUCCAUGUAUCC
Molecule: non-coding RNA, 27 nt
Filed under: Rattus norvegicus (Norway rat)
Lineage: Eukaryota; Metazoa; Chordata; Mammalia; Rodentia; Muridae
Source: RNAcentral